Molecule: ribosomal RNA, 430 nt
Filed under: uncultured bacterium
Lineage: Bacteria
Description: bacterial SSU rRNA
Rfam family: Bacterial small subunit ribosomal RNA
Source: RNAcentral
GUUAGGAAUAUUCGUCAAUGGGGGAAACCCUGAACGAGCAAUGCCGCGUGAAGGAUGACGGUCCUAUGGAUUGUAAACUUCUGUUGUUAGGGAAGAACGACCUGUAUAGGAAAUGAUGCAGGAGUGACGGUACCUUUCAAGAAAGCUCCGGCUAACUACGUGCCAGCAGCCGCGGUAAUACGUAGGGAGCGAGCGUUAUCCGGAUUUAUUGGGUGUAAAGGGUGCGUAGGCGGCUUUACAGGUCUGUGGUUUAAGUCCGAAGCUUAACUUCGGUUCGCCACAGAAACCGUAUCGCUUGAGUAUGGUAGAGGCAAGUGGAAUUUCUAGUGUAGCGGUUAAAUGCGUAGAUAUUAGAAGGAACACCAGUGGCGAAGGCGACUUGCUGGGCCAUCACUGACGCUGAGGCACGAAAGCGUGGGGAGCAAAUAGG